Nicotiana tabacum (common tobacco) is the source of this 3047-nucleotide non-coding RNA. Lineage: Eukaryota; Viridiplantae; Streptophyta; Magnoliopsida; Solanales; Solanaceae. The record is from RefSeq and is a predicted model, not a curated record.
CUGAAGGAACUCAAUAUAAUCUGCUAAAGAAACCAUCCGACUAUUCAAAGCAUUGGUUCCCAUGUCGCUACGAGAUGUCUGCUUACAUGCUUUAUACUGAAGUAACUCAAUAUAAUCUGCUAAAGAAACCAGCCGACUAUUCAAAGCAUCGAUUUCCAUGUCGCUACAAUUUGUAGUAAUAGGGUUAAUUUGAAAUAGUGGAAAUAAGUAACUCUUGUGAGAAAACUGAAGAAAUAGCUUGAAAAACACUGUUUACAACAGCAAAAAGCAGAACACUGUUCUGCGCCGGAAACACUGUAGCUGACGGAAAUAUUCAAAGUGGUCGGAAUGAAACAAAACCAGUGAGGGUAGGAUCGGAAUUACCAGGCGAUCCUACUGUUCAACUGGAACUUUUCAAAAUCUGGCCGGAAAAGUACUCACGCGCCGGCGCGUGGGUCAGAUCUCGCCGGAUUUUUUUUUCUUUUCCAGGCGCGUGAGGGCUUGUGGACGUGUGUUUUCCGGUGGGGUUGACUGGAGUUUGGUCGCCGGAGCCUGAGGAGUCUUGUGGUGGUGUUGGUUUUUACACAACACCAACAGAAAGUGAUUUGCUUACGGACAGCCUUCUAAGUCGCCGGAAAAUUGCACGGCGAAGAGGUCUUUCUUCCCGGAAGUCGCUGGAAUGAUGCACAACAACGAGUUUCUCACUAAUGCUCUGAUACUAUGUGAGAAAGCACGAGAGAAAAUAUGUUGUUGAUAUUGGAUGAUAAAUACAAUUCAAGAGGUCCCUAUUUAUAGCUAUACACUACAAGGAGAUAUUACUCUUCUUCCAAUGUGGGACAAGACUACACUAUACAUAUCUGUAAACUAACAAAAGUAAAGAUGAGUACUAGUUAAGCAUUAUUUUUUUUCAAACCAAGUACGUAAAUAGUAUCUGCUAAACUAUGUACUUGAUCUUGAUAAAUUUCAGGAUUUUGUACAAACGUGAUGAUAGUAAGAAAAUAGCAUAUUUGGUGUCAUUGUUGCAUUGUCCUAUGCAAUAUGUGACAAGUUUCAAUGGCUACAUUAUUAAUAGAUAUAAGUUUCACGUGCAAGAAUAUGAUAAAAGUUUGAUAACUGAGAAUUUUGGGAUGGUUAUAGUUGGUGAGACUGAUGAAAAGAACAAAAUAUUGAUUACUAUGGAUAAUUAACUGAGAUUUUUCAAUUACGAUUUUUUGGGAGAAGAAGAAUGAUUUUGUUUCGAUGUGUGUAGUUUGACGUGUUUGACCCAAAAAAGGGUGUUAAAAUAAAUGAAUAUGGCUUUGUAACUGUUAAUCGCCAGUGAUUUCCUGAGAUGUUUUGAAGGAAGAAGUAGUUCUAUCCAGAAAAUUAAGAUGAACUGCCUUUUUACUUUUCGUUUUUUGUGUAAAGAAGAACUCUUACAAGGUGCAGUUUCCCUAUUAGACAUUAUUGCAUCCUUGUAAGAAGAACAAGGAUGUAAACUUUUGCUUGUUUUGAACUUGUAAAUAUGGCUUCCAGCAUAGCCUUAAUGCUGAAGAUUUGUAAUACUGUUACCUUUCUAAAAAAAAAGCCUUUUGUAUAAUAUAAGUAUUUUAUAUUAACGAUCCUUCCAAUAGAGGCUGGAAUGUUGUACGAAAGGUUCAACCUUGUGAUUCUGUUGACGUUGUGCAGAAAAUGGAUGAUGAUUUGGAGGUAGAUAAUUCUUCGCAAAUGAAAAGAAAAAGAACUCAUGAAGCUGUAGGAAAGGGUACGUUAUCAAAAGCGAAAAGCGCAGAAUAGCAAUAAGGUUCAUGGAGCUUGAAGCAAAAGGAGAGAAGUGAAGCACACGAAGUGAAGGCAAAUUAUAAGGGAAACUAAAAGUAUCAAUCAAUGAAUUUAUUAUAUUGCAAUAAAAAUAACUAAUUUUAGCAUCCAAUAUAAAAUAAUGCCGUCAUUAAUCCAACUCCUCGAAGUUGAGAUUAGAAGAAGCGACCGAUUCUCCUAGGCCCUUUCUGCUCCAUUGUUUGAAGCGCAAACUUCUCUAAAGCCCAUGGCUUCACCUAUGAAGCGAUAACCACUUGCUUUGUAUCUCCAGCGCUUUAAACGACGAAGCGAUGACUUUUAAUUGGGAAAGGGAAAGGUUUCUUUUAAAUACUCCUUUUCAACUUCAAAUUCAAAUACUCUUUUUUCAGCUUCAACAAAAUAUUAUCCAAAUGCCUACUAAAACUCAUCAAUGGAUUGCUUCUCGAUACGUGGAGAUUUUAGCCACUUGUCACUGUCUAUACUCUUGCUUUUGAGUCCAAAAGUAACCAUUUGAUACCAUAUUGUAAUGGCAUUUGUCUGAUUUCAGGUAGUGAAGCAGCUUAGUUGAAGAGAAGAUGAAAAGGUCAAAACGGAGCUAAAAAGUAGUACAAAUCUUUCCAUUUUUCAAGUCGAUAUAUUUGCCAGGUUACCAACCUAAACCGGAAGUCUGUGAAAAUGACCCAUUGCGGGUGCAAUGGACUGAGUGCAGGCAGCAAUCAGAGUGCAAGAACAACUGAAACAUUAUCCCUGAAGCAAGACCAAGUGUGGACUGCAAUGGAAUUGUUCGGCCGCAGUGGUAGCCGCAAUAUACUCCGCACUGCUGCAGCUUGGAAGGAUCAGAGAAUUGUCAAUUACUGAAGUGUUGGAAGCCAGUGAAGUGAGGCCGGAACACCUGAAGUGCGGACUGCAAUGGACAAGUGCGGGCCGCAAUCUCUGAAGAGCAGCCCCAAUGCACACUUGCAAUUGAAGACCACUUAAGACAGCCAGAUGCAGUGCGGACUGCAAUGCUCAAGUGCGGCCACACUGCAUCCUUAAGGGCAUUUUCGGCACAGAUUUCCAGGACACUAUAAAUAGUAUAUUUAGGUCUUUUUACAGCUUGUUUGGAUGGUUGUUACCUGUCGUAUUGUUACUUAAAUACAAUGUUUGUUUUGAUUGUUACUUAAAUUUUAUUAUAUCAUAUCGUUAAAUCCGUCGUUACGUAAUAACGAAAAAUGCUUCUUUAUGUAACGAUGGAUUUGGUGUGAUGACGUCGUCACCUUGGUUUUUUUGUCUCAUCUUGCCCUUCCUUA